GACGAACGCUGGCGGCGUGCUUAACACAUGCAAGUCGAACGGAAAGGCCCUGCUUUUGUGGGGUGCUCGAAUGGCGAACGGGUGAGUAACACGUGAGUAACCUGCCCUUGACUUUGGGAUAACUUCAGGAAACUGGGGCUAAUACCGGAUAGGAGCUCCUGCUGCAUGGUGGGGGUUGGAAAGUUUCGGCGGUUGGGGAUGGACUCGCGGCUUAUCAGCUUGUUGGUGGGGUAGUGGCUUACCAAGGCUUUGACGGGUAGCCGGCCUGAGAGGGUGACCGGCCACAUUGGGACUGAGAUACGGCCCAGACUCCUACGGGAGGCAGCAGUGGGGAAUAUUGCACAAUGGGCGGAAGCCUGAUGCAGCAACGCCGCGUGCGGGAUGACGGCCUUCGGGUUGUAAACCGCUUUCGCCUGUGACGAAGCGUGAGUGACGGUAAUGGGUAAAGAAGCACCGGCUAACUACGUGCCAGCAGCCGCGGUGAUACGUAGGGUGCGAGCGUUGUCCGGAUUUAUUGGGCGUAAAGGGCUCGUAGGUGGUUGAUCGCGUCGGAAGUGUAAUCUUGGGGCUUAACCCUGAGCGUGCUUUCGAUACGGGUUGACUUGAGGAAGGUAGGGGAGAAUGGAAUUCCUGGUGGAGCGGUGGAAUGCGCAGAUAUCAGGAGGAACACCAGUGGCGAAGGCGGUUCUCUGGGCCUUUCCUGACGCUGAGGAGCGAAAGCGUGGGGAGCGAACAGGCUUAGAUACCCUGGUAGUCCACGCUGUAAACGGUGGGUACUAGGUGUGGGGUCCAUUCCACGGGUUCCGUGCCGUAGCUAACGCUUUAAGUACCCCGCCUGGGGAGUACGGCCGCAAGGCUAAAACUCAAAGGAAUUGACGGGGCCCCGCACAAGCGGCGGAGCAUGCGGAUUAAUUCGAUGCAACGCGUAGAACCUUACCUGGGUUUGACAUGGAUCGGGAGUGCUCAGAGAUGGGUGUGCCUCUUUUGGGGUCGGUUCACAGGUGGUGCAUGGCUGUCGUCAGCUCGUGUCGUGAGAUGUUGGGUUAAGUCCCGCAACGAGCGCAACCCCUGUUCACUGUUGCCAGCACGUUAUGGUGGGGACUCAGUGGAGACCGCCGGGGUCAACUCGGAGGAAGGUGGGGAUGACGUCAAGUCAUCAUGCCCCUUAUGUCCAGGGCUUCACGCAUGCUACAAUGGCUGGUACAGAGAGUGGCGAGCCUGUGAGGGUGAGCGAAUCUCGGAAAGCCGGUCUCAGUUCGGAUUGGGGUCUGCAACUCGACCUCAUGAAGUCGGAGUCGCUAGUAAUCGCAGAUCAGCAACGCUGCGGUGAAUACGUUCCCGGGGCU
This 1346-nucleotide ribosomal RNA is filed under the name uncultured bacterium. Its description in RNAcentral is "partial 16S ribosomal RNA". It matches the Rfam family "Bacterial small subunit ribosomal RNA", at positions 28 to 1381 of the family's 1533-position model. The record is from RNAcentral.